UACCUGGUCUUGACAUCCUCGGAACCCUACAGAGAUGUGGGGGUGCCUUCGGGAGCCGAGAGACAGGUGCUGCAUGGCUGUCGUCAGCUCGUGUCGCGAGAUGUUGGGUUAAGUCCCGCAACGAGCGCAACCCUUGUCCGUAGUUGCCAUCAUUUAGUUGGGAACUCUACGGAGACCGCCGGUGACAAACCGGAGGAAGGUGGGGAUGACGUCAAGUCAUCAUGGCCCUUAUGACCAGGGCUACACACGUGCUACAAUGGCUGGUACAAAGGGCUGCCAACCCGCGAGGGGGAGCCAAUCCCAGAAAGCCAGUCGUAGUCCGGAUCGGAGUCUGCAACUCGACUCCGUGAAGUCGGAAUCGCUAGUAAUCGCGAAUCAGCAACGUCGCGGUGAAUACGUUCCCGGGUCUUGUACACACGC
This 420-nucleotide ribosomal RNA is filed under the name uncultured Chromatiales bacterium. RNAcentral's name for it is "bacterial SSU rRNA". It matches the Rfam family "Bacterial small subunit ribosomal RNA", at positions 972 to 1393 of the family's 1533-position model. The record is from RNAcentral. Lineage: Bacteria; Pseudomonadati; Pseudomonadota; Gammaproteobacteria; Chromatiales.